CUAAGGCUCCUUCAAACAUGGCCGACAGAUGUGUCCUUCCAUUGUUGACUUUAUAAUCCAGUGACUAUGUCAACUGGUUUAUUACAUGUUGAGUGCUGGUGUUCCAGACCUUCCUAGAAUCCUGUGAGUCCAGAACUGAAAUAUUUUCACCCUCAAUCUAAAUCCUGUAAACUCGGCAAAACAAUUUAUUUUUCAUCUGUGUCCAUGUUCAACAAACUGCUCAUGAUGUGGUUAAAGAUGUAUGACGACCUUUAUCUUUAUCAUCAUGUGACUAACAUUGUACAGUGAUGAAUAAUGCUGUCUCUGCUUCAGAAGCACGUAUUAUCUCCUUCUUUUGUUUGCAUGGAAUAAAAUGUUGAUCCAUCCAUUGAAUCGCAGCAGCUGACUUUUUGUAAAUCGGCUACAGGUGAUACAACAUGCUGCUGCCAGACUGUGAAGAGGAGGAGGUGGAACUGAGAGAAGAGAAAAUACAGAUGUGAGAGGAGACGGAGAGAUUCAGGGAGGAGCUGAGCUGUUACUGAACUAUAGACGAGAGAGGAACUUCCAUAUUCAGCAGAGUUCAACAUACAAACCAGCAACAUUACCUUGAUUCAACAUGCUGUCACUGCAUCAUUCUGUAGUUUCUCUACUGCUUCUCUACACUCUAACAGACAUCAGCUGUGGAGAACUCACACCAGUAAAGACUGAAGAGUUCAGUGUAGAAGGCAGAACUGUGACUCUGUCCUGCAACGACACCAAACUGUCAUCAAGUGAUUAUUUCUUCUGGUAUCGACAACAUCCAGGAAAACCUCCAGAGUUCCUCAUCUCACACUCUGCUUCAGGAGAAGUAACUGCUCCAACAUCUGGACUGAUGAUUAAAGUGGAGCAAAACCAAAUCAACAUGAUCAUCUCCUCUGCUGCAGUGACUGACUCUGCUGUGUACUACUGUGCUCUGCAGCCCACAGUGACAGGAAACAACACAACUCUGUACAAAAACCUCUGCAGCAAACAAGUCAAUACUCCACAUGGUCCACUAGAGGGAGUCACACCCUGUCACACCUCAGUGUUUCUCUUCAUUCAGAUUCUUCUUGGUGAAGAUUCACACCAGAGAGAAUGAACAACUAAAGCCGUGAUUUUUUUGGGGUGUACCACAGGGUUCAAUCCUGGGUCCUCUCAUGUUCUGUUAUAAAAUACAUCAAAGUCCAGUAAUUAUGGCAGAAGGAUUGUUUGAAGUCUUACUGUCACAGUCAGCUCACCUUCAUGCCCAGUAGGUUCCCACGUCACCUCCCCUCUGUCCCGCACGAGCAAUCAGCUACACCCACCUCAGCACCUCACCUAGCUCCGCAGCUUCAGCUCAUCACCAAUCCGGUCCGUAUAUAACCUCCUCUCACUCAUUCACUCACCGCCAGAUUGUUCUUUGUACUAUAUGUCAGACUUUCCAGCGAUAUCCCACGGACGGAUCUCCCGGUAUCGAAUCUGGUUCUGCCCCCGACUUCCCCGUAUCGUCUCAGCCCUGGUUAAGACCCUGCCUUUGUCCCUGGUUUCCCCACUUGGCCUGAACCCCGAAGAAGACCUCUGCCUGCUGCCCCCGACCUUCCCGUCUCGCCUUGAUCCCGGUAAAGACCUCGGUCUUCUGCCCCGACUCCGAGCCUUGCCUGUGUACUGACGAUUUCCUGGUUGGUGUCAUCCACCGGGACAGUUUCAUUGGCGUUGUCUGCUCGCCGGCAGUUUGUGAACAAUAAAGUUGAUUACCAACAUA
Molecule: non-coding RNA, 1738 nt
Organism: Scophthalmus maximus (turbot)
Lineage: Eukaryota; Metazoa; Chordata; Actinopteri; Pleuronectiformes; Scophthalmidae
Source: the annotation of a RefSeq genome assembly